Molecule: long non-coding RNA, 3278 nt
Organism: Prionailurus viverrinus (fishing cat)
Lineage: Eukaryota; Metazoa; Chordata; Mammalia; Carnivora; Felidae
Exons: 3
Source: RefSeq, a predicted model, not a curated record
UCUCUCUAGAUGAAGCCUCUAGACGGUCUCUAGCCUCCUUGACUGGGGAAAUGGUGAUGCGGUGGAGGAGAAAGGGAAAUGGGUCCUUUGGGGGACGUGGGGAAGCGUUCGUUUCGGGGAGGCUCGCGGUUCCAGCGAAUAGACGGUAACACGGGUCGCGGCUCAGACGCAGCGCGUGUUUGUUUCCUGCUCGUGCCCACAGUCUGAGGUGGGCGUUGUGUGCCCCAUGUGUGGUGCGCCGGGUGGACUAGAGAGUUCUGCUCCACCCAGUCGCUCGGGGGCCCAGGCUGGCGGAGGCCCUGCCGCCGUGAUGUCCAAGGUCCCCCUGGGCGAUGGCCUCGAGCCGGCAGAAAAGAGGAGAGAGAGAGGAGAAACGACAUCAGGCCGGAGGGGACACACAUCACCGUGGGAACUCAGUGCCGCGUGUGGGUGCCAGGGACUCUGGGAACGUGGUCCUUGCCAGGGCAGGUGGCCUGCCGAGUCACAUCCACGUUACAGAUGAGGGAAGAGGCUGCUCGCUAGGCUUCCCGAGCCCAGAGGAGAAAGAGAGUGGUCCGGGAGAAAGAUCCCUCAGGGAAGGGACAUCCCAGGUCCCAGCGGUGAGCUUUCAACCUGUUCCUUCCUACACCUCCCUCCCUCCCCCCGCCUUGGGACACCGGGCCCUCCUGAUAGCUUCCUGGACAGAGAUGAAGGGGUCAAGGGUACCUUCAGUGCAAGCAGGCCAAAGUCCCGCGUUGAGGACCCGGUGACCGAUGGAGGCGUGCAGUGCCUCUGUGUUUCCUGCCUCCCUGUUUGCGGUGCUCGAGCGACUGGUGUGCCAACACGGGAGCGGACUGAGGCUCAUCCGCCCGCCUGUACCUGCCCGUUGCUCCUGGGCGAGAGCUCCGCCGACGGAGAGAGAGAGACACUUCCGUCUCGCCUGUUAGAUGUUUCCUGAGCACGUGCUAUGUGCCCAGGCAAUAUGCGGCAAUGGCCGUAGCCCGGCGAGGAGCCCAUCGGGAGCCAGGCCGCCAGGGUGCGCUUCCUGGCUUGGCUCUUCCAGCUCUGUGACCUUGGGCAGGUCGCUUAACCUCUCUGCGCCUGACUUUCCUCAUUGGUAAGGCGGGGAUGGUAAUAGUCCCCAUCUCGGGCUGGUGCUGUGAGCAGAGUAAGAGAUGGUCUAAGGUGCUUGGCAUGGUGCCUGGUGCUCGGUAAACGGGAGCCGUAACUUGAGGUCAUCGGAAAGACAGGUGUGGUUUAGCUCAGAAGCCCCGAUUUGUCUGCACUGCCACCUAAGGAGUCCCUUACCCGCUUUCUCCUGAUAAUAAGCUUUUUUUUUUUUUUUUUAAUGCUUAAGAAGUCUGGCUACAGCCAACGCUGUGAUGGGCAGAGUAGAUGCAAACACCCUCCGCCCACCGGGGGACGGGCUGUGGAGGGUCCCCUGUGCCCACAACGAUGUGCCCACGGCCACUCCCCUCUGACUUGAAGCUGAAGUCAGACCAGUGCCUCAUUCAUCCUCUCCGUAGCAGCCACUUAAUCCUCACCCCUGUUUUAUACGGGCGCAAUCAUCCGUGCGGCGUGUCCAGCCUCGUGGUAGAUUCCGGGCAAGCGAAUGCGCAGAUGUGGACCCCGCCUUUACGAAGCUCACAGGAAAAACCAAAAUGCCCUGUAGGAGAAUGAAGAGAAGGAAAGAUCAAUCCACAAAAUCCCUGCAAGGAGCCACAGACCUGGAUGCAAUUGUGUAUCAUAACAUGGUUUUUACACCAGAAAUCGGCAAACAGCCUUCACGUCCCACAUGGCUCCCCCCAAAUCCGUAAGUUGAAGGCCUCACCCCCAGUGUGGUAUUUGCACAGGCGGCUUUUGGUAGGUAAUCGGGGUUAGAUGAAUCAUGAGGGUAGAGACAUCAGAGAACUAACGGUCUGGGUCUCUCUCUGUCUCUCCCUCCUUCUCUCUCUCUGAGCCACAUGCACAGUAAGAAGACGGCUGUGUGUGAGCCAGGAGGAGGGUCCGCACCUGAACUGAUGCCAUGAUCCAGGACUUACAGUCUCCAGAACUGUGAGAAAAUAAAUCUCUGUUGUUUAAGGCCCUCGGCCCAGGAUAUUUUUGUUAUGGCAGCCAAGCUAAGACAGGGAGCAGCCGGGCAAUAGCGCAGCUGGGGCGGGUGGUGCCCCAACGACCCCCAGGUCUUUCUGCCCUCAGGCCACCUGCCCACUGCAGAGCCUUUCAUCCCUACUCUGCCACACGAGGGCACGGGAGUCUGCAAAAGGGCAUCGCGCCCAAGUACGGCUGCUUUCCCCGUGUGAGCGUGUGGAAACGCGUGUGUGUGUGUCACAAGGCUGGUUGCUCACCGCAACCCUGUGAAAUAGCAAAACACACCCUCUUUUGUUUCCCGUCCUGCUGGUAGCCCCUCUCAGCCUCUGGUGCAGGGUCCUGAGGCUUCUCCCUUCUCCGUCCACACUCAUUCCCUGGGGACGCUCUAGACGCUGGCAGACUUGUCAUUUCUAAGCCCGAUCCUCUCAAACUCCGGGAUCAUGUGUCCCAAGGCCCACGGGACGUCCUCACACAGACUCGGACAGACAGCUCCCACUCGGCAUGGCCGGGACCAAACUCCCGACGACGGCCACACCGCCUGCAGCUGCCCCUUCCCAGCCCUCCCCCCGCAGUGGGUGCCAGGUCUAUCCCUCCAGGGGCUCAUCCCCACCCCCCCACCCCCUGGACCUUGGAUUUCUAGACUCCUCACUUUUCUUGCUGCCCCCCUUCUGGCCCAUCUGCAAAUCCUAUUGGCUGUACUCUCAGGCUAUGUCCAGAAUCUGACUGCUUCUCACCUCCUCCACUGCCAGCACCGAUCAUCCACCACCUCCCGGACAGCAGCAGCCUCCUCGCUGCUCUCCCUGUGAUUGACUCCCCCCAGCAGCCAGAGAGAUGAGACCAUGGGCCUGCCCUGCUCAAAAUGUCCCCCUGUCUCCCCAAGUCACUUGGGGUAGAAGCCAAAGUCCUCACAACACCCGCAAGGCUCUCUGUGCUCCACACCGGCCUCUUAUCACUGCCCUCCAGCCCUCCUCCCAUUUUGCUGCCUUCCAGCCGCACGGGUCUCCUUGCCCUUUCUUGAACCCUCCAGGCACGUCCCUGCCUCAGGGCCUUUGCACUAGCUGCACUGGCUGGUCCCUCAACCUGGAAUGUUCUCCCCCCAGGUAUUCUCAUUGUCACCUCCCUCCAGUCGGCUGAGAUGUCACCUCCUCCGAUCACCGUUUUGGAAACUGCAAUCUACCCCUUGCCCUGCCCUAUUGUUUCAUUUCUCC